This 586-nucleotide ribosomal RNA is filed under the name uncultured Pseudomonas sp. Its description in RNAcentral is "bacterial SSU rRNA". It matches the Rfam family "Bacterial small subunit ribosomal RNA", at positions 102 to 684 of the family's 1533-position model. Lineage: Bacteria; Pseudomonadati; Pseudomonadota; Gammaproteobacteria; Pseudomonadales; Pseudomonadaceae. The record is from RNAcentral.
ACGGGUGAGUAAUGCCUAGGAAUCUGCCUGGUAGUGGGGGAUAACGUUCGGAAACGAACGCUAAUACCGCAUACGUCCUACGGGAGAAAGCAGGGGACCUUCGGGCCUUGCGCUAUCAGAUGAGCCUAGGUCGGAUUAGCUAGUUGGUGAGGUAAUGGCUCACCAAGGCGACGAUCCGUAACUGGUCUGAGAGGAUGAUCAGUCACACUGGAACUGAGACACGGUCCAGACUCCUACGGGAGGCAGCAGUGGGGAAUAUUGGACAAUGGGCGAAAGCCUGAUCCAGCCAUGCCGCGUGUGUGAAGAAGGUCUUCGGAUUGUAAAGCACUUUAAGUUGGGAGGAAGGGCAGUUACCUAAUACGUGAUUGUUUUGACGUUACCGACAGAAUAAGCACCGGCUAACUCUGUGCCAGCAGCCGCGGUAAUACAGAGGGUGCAAGCGUUAAUCGGAAUUACUGGGCGUAAAGCGCGCGUAGGUGGUUUGUUAAGUUGGAUGUGAAAUCCCCGGGCUCAACCUGGGAACUGCAUUCAAAACUGACUGACUAGAGUAUGGUAGAGGGUGGUGGAAUUUCCUGUGUAGCGGUGA